This 877-nucleotide ribosomal RNA is filed under the name Serpula himantioides. Its description in RNAcentral is "LSU rRNA". It matches the Rfam family "Eukaryotic large subunit ribosomal RNA", at positions 67 to 915 of the family's 3401-position model. The record is from RNAcentral. Lineage: Eukaryota; Fungi; Basidiomycota; Agaricomycetes; Boletales; Serpulaceae.
AACAAGGAUUCCCCUAGUAACUGCGAGUGAAGCGGGAAGAGCUCAAAUUUUGAAUCUGGCGGUCCUCGUGGUCGUCCGAGUUGUAAUCUAGAGAAGCGUUUUCCGCGCUGGACCGUGUACAAGUCUCCUGGAACGGAGCGUCAUAGAGGGUGAGAAUCCCGUCUCUGACACGGACUACCAGGGCUUUUGUGAUGCGCUCUCGACGAGUCGAGUUGUUUGGGAAUGCAGCUCAAAUUGGGUGGUAAAUUCCAUCUAAAGCUAAAUACAGGCGAGAGACCGAUAGCGAACAAGUACCGUGAGGGAAAGAUGAAAAGAACUUUGGAAAGAGAGUUAAACAGUACGUGAAAUUGCUGAAAGGGAAACGCUUGAAGUCAGUCGCGUUGGCCGGGGAUCAGCCUUGCAAUCUUGUUGGGUGCAUUUCCUGGUUGACGGGUCAGCAUCGAUUUUGACCGUCGGAGAAGGGUCGAGGGAAUGUGGCAUCCUUCGGGGUGUGUUAUAGCCUUUGAUCGUAUGCGACGGUUGGGAUCGAGGAACUCRGCAUGACCCCUCGUGGGUUUGGGGCUUCGGCUCACAUCCAUGCUUAGGAUGCUGGCAUAAUGGCUUUAAGCGACCCGUCUUGAAACACGGACCAAGGAGUCUAACAUGCCCGCGAGUGUUUGGGUGUUUAAAACCCGAGCGCGUAAUGAAAGUGAAAGUUGAGACCUCUGUCGUGGAGGGCAUCGACGCCCGGACCAGAACUUUUGUGACGGCCCUGCGGUAGAGCGUGUAUGUUGGGACCCGAAAGAUGGUGAACUAUGCCUGAAUAGGGUGAAGCCAGAGGAAACUCUGGUGGAGGCUCGUAGCGAUUCUGACGUGCAAAUCGAUCGUCGAAUUUGGG